Molecule: ribosomal RNA, 843 nt
Filed under: Lecanora flavoleprosa
Lineage: Eukaryota; Fungi; Ascomycota; Lecanoromycetes; Lecanorales; Lecanoraceae
Description: SSU rRNA
Rfam family: Bacterial small subunit ribosomal RNA
Source: RNAcentral
UAUAGCAAUAGCUAAUUGUAUCCAUACUUAAUGGAUACAAUAUUGACUUUGUCAAAUAAAAUUCUAGGCAGAAUUAUGAUAAUGACAUUGGCUGCCUAUGUGUCUUGACCAAAUUACGUGCCAGCAGUCGCGGUAAUACGUAGAAGACUAGUGUUAUUCAUCUUUAAUAGGUUUAAAGGGUACCUAGACGGUAAAUCAAGCCUAAAUAGGGGACUAAUUUACUAGAGUUACUUACGAGGGGGCACUAAAGUACUGGUGGUGUAGAGAUGAAAUUCUGUAAUACUUUUUUCGUAAAGAAAACAAUGGCACAGGUAUAGGCGAAAGCAUCCCCUUAUGUGAUAACUGACGUUGAAGGACGAAGGCUUUGUGCAGCGAACAGGAUUAGAUACCCUAGUAGUCGAAGCAGAAAAUGAUGAAUGUCAUAGAUUAGACAUUUAAGUUUAUUCUAUAAAUGAAAGUGUAAGCAUUCCACCUCAAGAGUAAUUUGGCAACAUUGGAACUGAAAUCAUUAGACCGUUUCUGAAACCAGUAGUGAAGUAUGUUGUUUAAUUUGAUGAUCCGCAAAAAACCUUACCACAACUUGAAUAUUUAUAUCAAUACCUUUUCAUUAAUCUAUAUCUAUCUAUUUUUAAUAAGUAUAAUAGGAUUUUUUUAAUAAAAAGAUUAAAGGCAUAUUUACAAGCGUUGCACGGCUGUCUUCAGUUAAUGUCGCGAGACUUUGGUUAGUUCCAUUAAAUUAACGCAAACCCUUACUUUAUUUUUACAUAAAGUAGUUCCCCACUAUAUUGGAUAAGAUAACAGGGACUAAGACAAGUCAUCAUGGCCUUAAUGUUGUGGGCUAUA